UCGCGGUGGCGGAGCGUCGUUUGCGACGCCCAACACACAAAACAAGCGGUGAGUGCUUUGGGGUGGGGUGACUGCGUACCUUUUGUAUAAUGGGUCAGCGACUUAUAUUCUGUAGCAAGGUUAACCGAAUAGGGGAGCCGGAGGGAAACCGAGUCUUAAUUGGGCGUUAAGUUGCAGGGUAUAGACCCGAAACCCGGUGAUCUAGCCAUGGGCAGGUUGAAGGUUGGGUAACACUAACUGGAGGACCGAACCGACUAAUGUUGAAAAAUUAGCGGAUGACCUGUGGCUGGGGGUGAAAGGCCAAUCAAACCGGGAGAUAGCUGGUUCUCCCCGAAAGCUAUUUAGGUAGCGCCUCGUGAAUUCAUCUCCGGGGGUAGAGCACUGUUUCGGCUAGGGGGCCAUCCCGGCUUACCAACCCGAUGCAAACUGCGAAUACCGGAGAAUGUUAUCACGGGAGACACACGGCGGGUGCUAACGUCCGUCGUGAAGAGGGAAACAACCCAGACCGCCAGCUAAGGUCCCAAAGUCAUGGUUAAGUGGGAAACGAUGUGGGAAGGCCCAGACAGCCAGGAUGUUGGCUUAGAAGCAGCCAUCAUUUAAAGAAAGCGUAAUAGCUCACUGGUCGAGUCGGCCUGCGCGGAAGAUGUAACGGGGCUAAACCAUGCACCGAAGCUGCGGCAGCGACGCUGAUGCGUUGUUGGGUAGGGGAGCGUUCUGUAAGCCUGUGAAGGUGGCCUGUGAGGGUUGCUGGAGGUAUCAGAAGUGCGAAUGCUGACAUAAGUAACGAUAAAGCGGGUGAAAAGCCCGCUCGCCGGAAGACCAAGGGUUCCUGUCCAACGUUAAUCGGGGCAGG
Molecule: ribosomal RNA, 853 nt
Filed under: Salmonella enterica
Lineage: Bacteria; Pseudomonadati; Pseudomonadota; Gammaproteobacteria; Enterobacterales; Enterobacteriaceae
Description: bacterial LSU rRNA
Rfam family: Bacterial large subunit ribosomal RNA
Source: RNAcentral